RNAcentral lists this ribosomal RNA (707 nucleotides) under uncultured Pelagibacterales bacterium. RNAcentral describes it as "bacterial SSU rRNA". It matches the Rfam family "Bacterial small subunit ribosomal RNA", at positions 357 to 1079 of the family's 1533-position model. Lineage: Bacteria; Pseudomonadati; Pseudomonadota; Alphaproteobacteria; Candidatus Pelagibacterales. The record is from RNAcentral.
UGGGANCUUGCACAAUGGGGGAAACCCUGAUGCAGCGAUGCCGCGUGAGUGAAGAAGGCCUUUGGGUUGUAAAACUCUUUCGUCGGGGAAGAAAAUGACUGUACCCGAAUAAGAAGGUCCGGCUAACUUCGUGCCAGCAGCCGCGGUAAUACGAAGGGACCUAGCGUAGUUCGGAAUUACUGGGCUUAAAGAGCUCGUAGGUGGUUAAAGAAGUUGGUGGUGAAAUCCCAAGGCUUAACCUUGGAACUGCCAUCAAAACUUUUUAGCUAGAGUAUGAUAGAGGAAAGUGGAAUUUCUAGUGUAGAGGUGAAAUUCGUAGAUAUUAGAAAGAACACCAAAAGCGAAGGCAACUUUCUGGAUCAUUACUGACACUGAGGAGCGAAAGCAUGGGUAGCGAAGAGGAUUAGAUACCCUCGUAGUCCAUGCUGUAAACGAUGUGUGCUAGACGUUGGAAAUUUGAUUUUCAGUGUCGCAGCAAAAGCGUUAAGCACACCGCCUGGGGAGUACGACCGCAAGGUUAAAACUCAAAUGAAUUGACGGGGACCCGCACAAGCAGUGGAGCAUGUGGUUUAAUUCGAAGAUACGCGCAGAACCUUACCAACUCUUGACAUGUUCGUCGCGACUCGUAGAGAUAUGAGUCUUCGGUUCGGCCGGACGAAACACAGGUGCUGCAUGGCUGUCGUCAGCUCGUGUCGUGAGAUGNUGGG